Molecule: unclassified non-coding RNA, 409 nt
Filed under: Hevea brasiliensis (rubber tree)
Lineage: Eukaryota; Viridiplantae; Streptophyta; Magnoliopsida; Malpighiales; Euphorbiaceae
Source: RNAcentral
AGCCGUCAAGAGAGAUUCAUAAUUGAUAACCAAGAUCCAAGAAGACAUGAAUAUGAUGAUGCUCGAAGUUGCUGCGCUCGUUGGAAUGUUCUGGUAAUUUCAGAUAAAUCUGCUCCUACCGUGCAUCUGGAGCUUGGUUCUAUCAUAACACAAAGUGAAUCGUCUUUAAGUGGACUGUAGCCUGUAGAUUAAUUUCAAAGGAAAAAAAAAAAGGAUUGUAACGUGCUAUACCCCGGCUGUUUUGCCCAAACAUCAUUAGUAUUGAGCAAGGAUCUUGGCAUUCUAAUGCUUUUCGAGGCUCGUUUCAGAGUCCUGUCAACUUGGAUUUGAUUGAAGUAGCUAAUUUUUUAGGGUGAUAAAGUUUUUAGUGUAAUUUGUAAAUUUAUUAAAUUUAUUUAAAAAUCGGAAG